GACGAACGCUGGCGGCGUGCUUAACACAUGCAAGUCGAACGGAAAGGCCCUGCUUUUGUGGGGUGCUCGAGUGGCGAACGGGUGAGUAACACGUGAGUAACCUGCCCUUGACUUUGGGAUAACUUCAGGAAACUGGGGCUAAUACCGGAUAGGAGCUCCUGCUGCAUGGUGGGGGUUGGAAAGUUUCGGCGGUUGGGGAUGGACUCGCGGCUUAUCAGCUUGUUGGUGGGGUAGUGGCUUACCAAGGCUUUGAAGGGUAGCCGGCCUGAGAGGGUGACCGGCCACAUUGGGACUGAGAUACGGCCCAGACUCCUACGGGAGGCAGCAGUGGGGAAUAUUGCACAAUGGGCGGAAGCCUGAUGCAGCAACGCCGCGUGCGGGAUGACGGCCUUCGGGUUGUAAACCGCUUUCGCCUGUGACGAAGCGUGAGUGACGGUAAUGGGUAAAGAAGCACCGGCUAACUACGUG
RNAcentral lists this ribosomal RNA (468 nucleotides) under uncultured bacterium. RNAcentral's name for it is "partial 16S ribosomal RNA". It matches the Rfam family "Bacterial small subunit ribosomal RNA", at positions 28 to 507 of the family's 1533-position model. The record is from RNAcentral.